CCUACGGGUGGCAGCAGUGAGGAAUAUUGGUCAAUGGACGAGAGUCUGAACCAGCCAAGUAGCGUGAAGGAUGACUGCCCUAUGGGUUGUAAACUUCUUUUAUAUGGGAAUAAAAUGUUCCACGUGUGGGAUUUUGUAUGUACCAUAUGAAUAAGGAUCGGCUAACUCAGUGCCAGCAGCCGCGGUAAUCCGGAGGAUCCGAGCGUUAUCCGGAUUUAUUGGGUUUAAAGGGAGCGUAGGUGGAUUGUUAAGUCAGUUGUGAAAGUUUGCGGCUCAACCGUAAAAUUGCAGUUGAAACUGGCAGUCUUGAGUACAGUAGAGGUGGGCGGAAUUCGUGGUGUAGCGGUGAAAUGCUUAGAUAUCACGAAGAACUCCGAUUGCGAAGGCAGUUCACUGGACUGCAACUGAAACUGAGGCUCGAAAGUGUGGGUAUCAAACAGGAUUAGAUACCCGAGUAGUC
This 460-nucleotide ribosomal RNA is filed under the name uncultured bacterium. RNAcentral describes it as "partial 16S ribosomal RNA". It matches the Rfam family "Bacterial small subunit ribosomal RNA", at positions 338 to 795 of the family's 1533-position model. The record is from RNAcentral.